GGGCCUUGGUUUGGUCCGGCCGCUGACGCUCACCGCUCGCUGACGCCGGUGGAGCUCGAGCUUCCGCUCUUCUAGCACUAAGCACUGGGGAAGCCUAACUCUAUCUAGCAGAGCCGACAUGGACAUGGACAUGGCGAGCUAGGGGCCAGACUCCAAUGGGAUGUUCCGCCUACGUACAGCAGAUCCUGCUGCUGGUCGUUCUCCUCCUACCAGCACCACCGUCCUAGCAAGCCGCGCGGCCACGACGGCCUGCUCGACUGCCGCCUCCACGAGCACGCCGACGGGAAGUUCAGGUAGGUCGCGAAGGUGCGACACACGGCGAGGACCCGGCGCCACGAGAGGAGGCCGCUCAAGGAGUCGGAGAUGCAGUGGAAACCUUAUUUAUUCUACCUCCUCUUAACCGCGUCCUCCCGGAGUUUCAACAAACAGACUAACUAAACCAGAUAACUACUGUUUAAAGUAGACAGAAAAAGAAAAAGAGAAAACGCUCCUUGUUCACUACUUAAAAUAAAGAAUAUUCGGUUGAGCAUCUCUUUGGAGAGAGAGAGGCAUAUGCACGUACACUCGUUUAGCAAAAACAAUCCAAUCGGUCAAACGCUGGUUCGCUGCCGACGCCGAAAGAGGUGGAGAGGUGGUCGGCCGCUGUCAACCCGCCCCUCGGGGCCUAGACACGCGUGCCAAGCACAGAUCACCCACAGAGACUUAAGAACCUGCAGCCACUUCUACCCCGUCGUCACUGCUACUCAUGUUACUAAGGAGGGGAAGGAACAUCCCCGCAGCUGCUCAGUCUGCUACCACAGUUAGCGACCGUUUAAGCUGAGUACGCAAAUAAGUGCCGCCUCCCCGCUGUAGCGCCGCACCAGAUAAAGAGAGGUCAAUGUAGAAACGUAACACUACUUCGAAUCGGUCUAUGCCGAGGCAACCCCAGAAUACUCCAAACACAGAGGUGGAAGCGGACAAACCUGAACCCUAAUAUCUGACUGGGAACAGCCACGAGAGCUUGCCACUAGAAAAGUUUAGCCGCAGCCAGCGCAGAAGAUCAGAUGUAGUUACUGAAAGACUGGCGACGAACACAUUCGAGAACUCAAAAAUUGUAGCUCGAAACGAGUGACGCGCAGCGUCUACCUAUGUCUUCCUUCUGCUACUACUAAGGAACUUCCUGAACGGGCAUAAAAUAAUAAUAAUGAUCGUUUUCCCGGGCACGUAACAUUGCCUUCCUCUUUUUUUAGUAUUAGCGGUUACCAAUUCUGGUCUAAAACGAGGCAGGCUCUAUAAGAUAGAGAGAGAAAGAGUGGCUCUGUAAGGAUUGUCGUAAUAGGUACAUACAUAAAUAUUUGUUACACGUACAUGUUUCACGAUG
RNAcentral lists this ribosomal RNA (1360 nucleotides) under Triticum aestivum (bread wheat). RNAcentral describes it as "partial small subunit ribosomal RNA". The record is from RNAcentral. Lineage: Eukaryota; Viridiplantae; Streptophyta; Magnoliopsida; Poales; Poaceae.